This 446-nucleotide ribosomal RNA is filed under the name uncultured bacterium. RNAcentral describes it as "partial 16S ribosomal RNA". It matches the Rfam family "Bacterial small subunit ribosomal RNA", at positions 338 to 795 of the family's 1533-position model. The record is from RNAcentral.
CCUACGGGAGGCAGCAGUCGAGAAUCAUUCACAAUGGGGAAAACCCUGAUGGUGCGACGCCGCGUGGGGGAAUGAAGGUCUUCGGAUUGUAAACCCCUGUCAUGUGGGAGCAAAUUAAAAAGAUAGUACCACAAGAGGAAGAGACGGCUAACUCUGUGCCAGCAGCCGCGGUAAUACAGAGGUCUCAAGCGUUGUUCGGAAUCACUGGGCGUAAGGCGUGCGUAGGCUGUUUCGUAAGUCGUGUGUGAAAGGCGCGGGCUCAACCCGCGGACGGAACAUGAUACUGCGAGACUAGAGUAAUGGAGGGGGAACCGGAAUUCUCGGUGUAGCAGUGAAAUGCGUAGAUAUCGAGAGGAACACUCGUGGCGAAGGCGGGUUCCUGGACAUUAACUGACGCUGAGGCACGAAGGCCAGGGGAGCGAAAGGGAUUAGAUACCCGAGUAGUC